AUUGCCCUGUGAAGAUGCAGGUUACCCGCGACAGGACGGAAAGACCCCGUGGAGCUUUACUGUAGCCUGAUAUUGAAAUUCGGCACAGCUUGUACAGGAUAGGUAGGAGCCUUUGAAACGUGAGCGCUAGCU
RNAcentral lists this ribosomal RNA (132 nucleotides) under Staphylococcus epidermidis. RNAcentral's name for it is "partial 23S ribosomal RNA". It matches the Rfam family "Bacterial large subunit ribosomal RNA", at positions 2049 to 2176 of the family's 2925-position model. Lineage: Bacteria; Bacillati; Bacillota; Bacilli; Caryophanales; Staphylococcaceae. The record is from RNAcentral.